UGGGGAAUAUUGCGCAAUGGGGGAAACCCUGACGCAGCGAUGCCGCGUGAAGGAAGAAGGCCUUCGGGUUGUAAACUUCUUUGAUCGGGGACGAAGGAAGACGGUACCCGAGGAACAAGCCCCGGCAACCUACGUGCCAGCAGCCGCGGCAAUACGUAGGUGGCGAGCGUUUUCAGGAAUUACGGGGCGUAAAGGGAGCGUAGGCGGGGGGACAAGUCAGAGGUGAAAUACUGAAGCUUAACUGCGGGGCUGCAUAUGAAACUGUUCUUGUUGAGUGUCGGAGAGGAAAGUGGAAUUCCCAGUGUAGCGGUGAAAUGCGUAGAGAUUGGGAAGAACACCAGUGGCGAAGGCGGCUUACGGGACGACAACUGACGCUGAGGCGCGAAAGCGUGGGGAGCAAACAGG
This 405-nucleotide ribosomal RNA is filed under the name Bacillota bacterium. RNAcentral describes it as "Firmicutes bacterium partial 16S ribosomal RNA". It matches the Rfam family "Bacterial small subunit ribosomal RNA", at positions 355 to 776 of the family's 1533-position model. The record is from RNAcentral. Lineage: Bacteria; Bacillati; Bacillota.